AAAAAUGGCAUCUGCUAUGUCGUGGAAGGGAUUCACUGAGACAAUUAUGGAAUUGCUAUCAAGAGAUUUAGAUGCACUAUAUUUAUAACCUGGUGUCGCCAAUGAUGGCUCAUCUUGGUAUUAUU
Molecule: small nuclear RNA, 125 nt
Organism: Xyrauchen texanus (razorback sucker)
Lineage: Eukaryota; Metazoa; Chordata; Actinopteri; Cypriniformes; Catostomidae
Product: U11 spliceosomal RNA
Exons: 1
Source: RefSeq, a predicted model, not a curated record